AAACGCUAUCGUUUUCGCUAUUUCUUUAUUUAAAAAAGAAAGGAAAAACCAAAACCAAAAUACUGUCUCCCUCUGCAAGAAACCUCAUAGUCUAACUAAAAAGCAAAGCAAGUGCGCUUUCCUCUUUGUUGAAAACCUUGAUUCGAUUUGAUCUUUAGAGUUGCAGAAUGGGUGAUAGUCAGUACUCAUUUUCUCUCACCACCUUCAGUCCUUCUGGCAAGCUUGUUCAGAUUGAGCAUGCCCUAACUGCUGUUGGAUCCGGUCAAACUUCUUUAGGAAUCAAAGCUGCUAAUGGUGUUGUCAUUGCAACUGAGAAAAAACUACCUUCUAUUUUAGUUGAUGAAGCAUCUGUUCAAAAGAUUCAGACAUUAACUCCAAACAUUGGAGUUGUUUAUAGUGGCAUGGGGCCUGAUUUUCGGGUUCUAGUUAGAAAAAGUAGGAAGCAGGCUGAGCAAUAUCACCGCUUAUACAAAGAACCAAUCCCUGUUACACAACUUGUAAGGGAAACUGCUGCUGUUAUGCAGGAGUUCACCCAGUCUGGUGGUGUCAGACCUUUUGGUGUCUCACUGUUGGUCGCUGGGUAUGAUGACAAAGGUCCACAACUAUAUCAGGUGGACCCAUCAGGUUCAUAUUUCUCCUGGAAAGCUUCAGCUAUGGGGAAGAAUGUUUCUAAUGCAAAGACAUUUCUUGAGAAGAGGUACACAGAUGAUAUGGAGCUUGAUGAUGCAGUUCAUACAGCCAUAUUAACACUAAAAGAAGGGUAGGCCUCUAAAUUUUUUGAUAUGCCAGAGGACUGGGACUGUUUUAGUAUGUGAUUGCAAUGUUCCACUAGUGAUCUUCCGUUCCUCUUCGUCUUUUUCUUCUAGCCAUAAUCAGAUCGAUAUUAGGCCUGCGUGCUGGAUUUAAUCUUCUAAACUAUCAAUGUGGGUUGGCUGAAGUCUAAAAAUUGAGAAGCUGAAAUGGUCCUUGGAAUUUGCUUAAUAGGCACUUGUCAAGGCAAGUAAUUCUUGCUUGUGCUGUUCAAUAAGUAGCACUUCAAACGUUCUUGCCUUGCUUCUUUUUCAGGUUUGAAGGACAAAUUUCAGG
RNA transcript from Ricinus communis (castor bean), 1086 nucleotides. It is a transcript of the gene named proteasome subunit alpha type-2-A, with no coding region annotated. The transcript is spliced from 11 exons. Lineage: Eukaryota; Viridiplantae; Streptophyta; Magnoliopsida; Malpighiales; Euphorbiaceae. The record is from RefSeq and is a predicted model, not a curated record.